CAGUCGCCACGGUAAAACGUAGGUGGCAAGCGUUGUCCGGAAUUAUUGGGCGUAAAGGGCUCGCAGGCGGUUUCUUAAGUCUGAUGUGAAAGCCCCCGGCUCAACCGGGGAGGGUCAUUGGAAACUGGGAAACUUGAGUGCAGAAGAGGAGAGUGGAAUUCCACGUGUAGCGGUGAAAUGCGUAGAGAUGUGGAGGAACACCAGUGGCGAAGGCGACUCUCUGGUCUGUAACUGACGCUGAGGAGCGAAAGCGUGGGGAGCGAACAGGAUUAGAUACCCGUGUAGUCCCUGUCUCUUAUAC
RNAcentral lists this ribosomal RNA (301 nucleotides) under uncultured bacterium. Its description in RNAcentral is "partial 16S ribosomal RNA". It matches the Rfam family "Bacterial small subunit ribosomal RNA", at positions 509 to 807 of the family's 1533-position model. The record is from RNAcentral.